GCCAGCAGCCGCGGUAAUACAGAGGGUGCAAGCGUUAAUCGGAAUUACUGGGCGUAAAGCGAGCGUAGGUGGCUUGAUAAGUCAGAUGUGAAAGCCCCGGGCUUAACCUGGGAACGGCAUCUGAUACUGUUAGGCUAGAGUAGGUGAGAGGAAGGUAGAAUUCCAGGUGUAGCGGUGAAAUGCGUAGAGAUCUGGAGGAAUACCGAUGGCGAAGGCAGCCUUCUGGCAUCAUACUGACACUGAGGUUCGAAAGCGUGGGUAGCAAACAGGAUUAGAUACCCUGGUAGUCCACGCCGUAAACGAUGUCUACUAGUCGUUGGGUCCCUUGAGGACUUAGUGACGCAGCUAACGCAAUAAGUAGACCGCCUGGGGAGUACGGCCGCAAGGUUAAAACUCAAAUGAAUUGACGGGGGCCCGCACAAGCGGUGGAGCAUGUGGUUUAAUUCGAUGCAACGCGAAGAACCUUACCUGGUCUUGACAUAUCUAGAAUCCUGCAGAGAUGCGGGAGUGCCUUCGGGAAUUAGAAUACAGGUGCUGCAUGGCUGUCGUCAGCUCGUGUCGUGAGAUGUUGGGUUAAGUCCCGCAACGAGCGCAACCCUUGUCCUUAGUUACCAGCGGUUUGGCCGGGAACUCUAAGGAUACUGCCAGUGACAAACUGGAGGAAGGCGGGGACGACGUCAAGUCAUCAUGGCCCUUACGACCAGGGCUACACACGUGCUACAAUGGUAGGUACAGAGGGCAGCUACACAGCGAUGUGAUGCGAAUCUCAAAAAGCCUAUCGUAGUCCAGAUUGGAGUCUGCAACUCGACUCCAUGAAGUAGGAAUCGCUAGUAAUCGCGGAUCAGAAUGCCGCGGUGAAUACGUUCCCGGGCCUUGUACACACCGCCCGUCACACCAUGGGAGUUGAUUGCACCAGAAGUGGUUAGCCUAACCUUUAGGAAGGCG
RNAcentral lists this ribosomal RNA (945 nucleotides) under Psychrobacter sp. 27F07-Zb1-2a. RNAcentral describes it as "bacterial SSU rRNA". It matches the Rfam family "Bacterial small subunit ribosomal RNA", at positions 507 to 1452 of the family's 1533-position model. Lineage: Bacteria; Pseudomonadati; Pseudomonadota; Gammaproteobacteria; Moraxellales; Moraxellaceae. The record is from RNAcentral.